Molecule: ribosomal RNA, 497 nt
Filed under: uncultured bacterium
Lineage: Bacteria
Description: partial 16S ribosomal RNA
Rfam family: Bacterial small subunit ribosomal RNA
Source: RNAcentral
AAUGAACGCUGGCGGCGUGCCUAAUACAUGCAAGUCGAGCGAACAGACCAGGAUCUUGCUCCUCUGACGUUAUCGGCGGACGGGUGAUGAACACUGGUAUAACCUACCUAUAAGACUGGUAUAACUUUGGGAAACCUGAGCUAAUACCGGAUAAUAUAUUGAACCGAAUGGUUCAAUAGUCAAAUAAGGUUGUUCUGUCACUUAUAGAUGGAUCCGCGCCGCAUUAGCUAGUUGGUAAGGUAAAGGCUUACCAAAGCAACGAUGCGUAGCCGACCUGAUAGGGUGAUCGGCCACACUGGAACUGAGACACGGUCCCGACUCCUACGGGAGGCAGCAGUAGGGAAUCUUACGCAAUGGGCGAAAGCCUGACGGAGCAACGCCGCGUGAGUGAUGAAGGUCUUCGGCUCGUAAAACUCUGUUAUUAGGGAAGAACAAAUGUGUAAGUACCUAUGAACGUCUUGACGGUACCUAAUCAGAAAGCCACGGCUAACUACGUG